GACGAACGCUGGCGGCGUGCUUAACACAUGCAAGUCGAACGGAAAGGCCCUGCUUUUGUGGGGUGCUCGAGUGGCGAACGGGUGAGUAACACGUGAGUAACCUGCCCUUGACUUUGGGAUAACUUCAGGAAACUGGGGCUAAUACCGGAUAGGAGCUCCUGCUGCAUGGUGGGGGUUGGAAAGUUUCGGCGGUUGGGGAUGGACUCGCGGCUUAUCAGCUUGUUGGUGGGGUAGUGGCUUACCAAGGCUUUACGGGUAGCCGGCCUGAGAGGGUGACCGGCCACAUUGGGACUGAGAUACGGCCCAGACUCCUACGGGAGGCAGCAGUGGGGAAUAUUGCACAAUGGGCGGAAGCCUGAUGCAGCAACGCCGCGUGCGGGAUGACGGCCUUCGGGUUGUAAACCGCUUUCGCCUGUGACGAAGCGUGAGUGACGGUAAUGGGUAAAGAAGCACCGGCUAACUACGUG
This 467-nucleotide ribosomal RNA is filed under the name uncultured bacterium. Its description in RNAcentral is "partial 16S ribosomal RNA". It matches the Rfam family "Bacterial small subunit ribosomal RNA", at positions 28 to 507 of the family's 1533-position model. The record is from RNAcentral.